CCCUUAGAUGUUCUGGGCUGCACGCGCGCUACACUGAUGCACUCAUCGAGUUUAUGACCUUGUCCGAGAGGAUUGGGUAAUCUUCUUAAAAUGCAUCGUGAUGGGGAUAGAUUAUUGCAAUUAUUAAUCUUCAACGAGGAAUGCCUAGUAAGCGCAAGUCAUCAGCUUGCGUUGAUUACGUCCCUGCCCUUUGUACACACCGCCCGUCGCUCCUACCGAUUGAAUGGUCCGGUGAAGCGUUCGGACCGUGGCCUUUGGACGGUUCGCCGUCUGUUGGCUGCGGGAAGUUCGUUAAACCUUAUCAUUUAGAGGAAGGAGAAGUCGUAACA
Molecule: ribosomal RNA, 329 nt
Filed under: uncultured eukaryote
Lineage: Eukaryota
Description: partial 18S ribosomal RNA
Rfam family: Eukaryotic small subunit ribosomal RNA
Source: RNAcentral